UCGUAACCAGGUUUCCGUAGGUGAACCUGCGGAAGGAUCAUUACUGAACUGUCGACACGAGUUGUUGCUGGCCCUCGAAAGGGGCACGUGCACGCUCUGUUUACACAUCCACUCACACCUGUGCACCCUCCGUAGUUCUAUGGCCUUGGGGACUCUGUCCCAUUGCCGUGGUUCUGCGUCUUUACACACACACCGUAAUAAAGUCUCAUGGAAUGUAGUCGCGUUUAACGCAAUACAAUACAACUUUCAGCAACGGAUCUCUUGGCUCUCGCAUCGAUGAAGAACGCAGCGAAAUACGAUAAGCAAUGUGAAUUGCAGAAUUCAGUGAAUCAUCGAAUCUUUGAACGCACCUUGCGCCCUUUGGCUAUUCCGAAGGGCAUGCCUGUUUGAGUAUCAUGAACACCUCAACUCUCAUGGUCCGCCAUGAUGAGCUUGGACUAUGGGGGUCUUGCCGGCCUAGCGUCGGCUCCUCUCAAAUGGAUCAGCUUCCCAGUGUUUGGUGGCGUCACAGGUGUGAUAACUAUCUACGCUUGUGGUUUUCCACCAUUAACCCUCAGCAAUGGAGGUUCGCUGGAGCUUACAGAUGUCUUUCCUUGGGGAGGACAGCUUCUUGAAUGUCUGAUCUCAAAUCAGGUAGGACUACCCGCUGAACUUAAGCAU
This 660-nucleotide ribosomal RNA is filed under the name uncultured Thelephoraceae. RNAcentral's name for it is "eukaryotic LSU rRNA". The stretch from base 242 to 396 matches the Rfam family "5.8S ribosomal RNA". The record is from RNAcentral. Lineage: Eukaryota; Fungi; Basidiomycota; Agaricomycetes; Thelephorales; Thelephoraceae.